CUAUGUCCUAUCAGGUAGUUGGUGAGGUAACGGCUCACCAAGCCAAUGACGGGUAUCUGGUUUGAGAGGAUGAUCAGACACACUGGAACUGAGACACGGUCCAGACUCCUACGGGAGGCAGCAGUGAGGAAUAUUGCACAAUGGAGGAAACUCUGAUGCAGCAACGCCGCGUGGAGGAUGACGCAUUUCGGUGUGUAAACUCCUUUUAAGAGGGAAGAUUAUGACGGUACCUCUUGAAUAAGCACCGGCUAACUCCGUGCCAGCAGCCGCGGUAAUACGGAGGGUGCAAGCGUUACUCGGAAUCACUGGGCGUAAAGGGUGCGUAGGCUGACUUUUAAGUCAGGCGUGAAAUCCAAUGGCUUAACCAUUGAACUGCGCUUGAAACUGGGAGUCUAGAGUUCAGAAGGGGCAGAUGGAAUUAGUGGUGUAGGGGUAAAAUCCGUAGAUAUCACUAGGAAUAUCAAAAGCGAAGGCGAUCUGCUGGGAUGAUACUGACGCUGAGGCACGAAAGCGUGGGGAGCAAACAGGAUUAGAUACCCUGGUAGUCCACGCCCUAAACGAUGAAUGCUAGUCGUCGGGGAGCUCGUCUCUUCGGUGAUGCACUUAACAGAUUAAGCAUUCCGCCUGGGGAGUACGGUCGCAAGAUUAAAACUCAAAGGAAUAGACGGGGACCCGCACAAGUGGUGGAGCAUGUGGUUUAAUUCGAAGAUACACGAAGAACCUUACCUGGCCUUGACAUGGUAGGAACCCUGUAGAGAUACGGGGGUGCUGGCUUGCUGGAGCCUACACACAGGUGCUGCACGGCUGUCGUCAGCUCGUGUCGUGAGAUGUUGGGUUAAGUCCCGCAACGAGCGCAACCCUCGUCCUUAGUUGCUAACGGUUCGGCCGAGCACUCUAAGGAGACUGCCUUCGCAAGGAGGAGGAAGGUGAGGACGACGUCAAGUCAUCAUGGCCCUUACGGCCAGGGCUACACACGUGCUACAAUGGGGCGUACAGAGAGCUGCGAUACCGCGAGGUGGAGCCAAUCUCUUAAAGCGUCUCUCAGUUCGGAUUGUUCUCUGCAACUCGAGAACAUGAAGCUGGAAUCACUAGUAAUCGCAGAUCAGCUAUGCUGCGGUGAAUACGUUCCCGGGUCUUGUACUCACCGCCCGUCACACCAUGGGAGUUGAUUUCACCCGAAAUCGGGAUGCCAAAC
This 1195-nucleotide ribosomal RNA is filed under the name uncultured Campylobacterota bacterium. Its description in RNAcentral is "bacterial SSU rRNA". It matches the Rfam family "Bacterial small subunit ribosomal RNA", at positions 231 to 1440 of the family's 1533-position model. Lineage: Bacteria; Pseudomonadati; Campylobacterota. The record is from RNAcentral.